GGUUGUUCCAACAACUAAAAUCAUCUGUACAAUUAGUCAAAGAGGAUGUCGAAUACAAAAUCUAGCCUGAUUAAAUGACAAGACAAUACAAACAGGAUAAGGAUUGGGAGAUUUGAUUCCAUUCUCUCACAAUAUCUUCGCAUUUUGCAUUUUUCCUUCACAAAUUCACGAUUAUUGAAGAUUUCAGUUAUAUAAGGUUUAUAUGGCUUAUUUGAUGGUAAAUUAUGAUUUAUAAAGGCUAGUGAGACAAGCCUUCAAGUGUGUGGACGCUUAGGCCUAAGUUUUGAUUAUUGUCCAGAGAACAGUGUAUAUUCACGCUUUAUACAACCUAGAAAAUGAGUAGUUCGUAUAUGCAUGAGC
Molecule: unclassified non-coding RNA, 360 nt
Filed under: Hevea brasiliensis (rubber tree)
Lineage: Eukaryota; Viridiplantae; Streptophyta; Magnoliopsida; Malpighiales; Euphorbiaceae
Source: RNAcentral